UACACCUUAUCAAAACUCAUCCAGUUAUACGCUUCCGGCUUCCCCCAUCUCCCUCACAUCGUCAAUUAGUUCGUCUCCCUCUCAAUCGACCACCACCGUUCCAGCUCCUCUCUCCUCUGAGUGUGUUUCUCUCUCGCUGGCUCGCUCCUGCUAGGGUUCCGAUUGAAGCCAUGGCUAGCUAUCUCGCCGCUUAAAUCCACAACUUGCCGUAGCCGUCUUCAAUUUCACAAUGGUUUAGGUCCAUCUGUAAAUCGUUGAGCCGCCUUACUUCAAUCGCUGACUUGUUCUCUCGUCGAACGGCAAAAGCUUAUUCAAGGCCGAGGCCGCUCUGCUUCUCCCCAACAACUCUGCUUCUCCUAAACAACUCCAGGUUUGCACAUUUCAGUUGAUUUUGAAGAACGCGGCUUCGUUACUGGAUAAUAACGAUCCAAUAAAGUUGGAAGCUGAAGCUAGUCUUAGGGAUCUCGUAAGAAGGUGGCAGAUGCACUCAUGGACUCAAUAUCUUCCCUAAACAAAUUCGAGCAGGGUGUCAAGGAUUGCCUUGAAAUUUAACUGUUUUGAUUUCCUUCAGAGUUGAGAGAUUCUGGUUCAUAUUGCACUUAUUUGAAGACAGAAAUUGUUCAAGUCAUAAGAAAUGGAUAAGAAUUGGAUGACGAUAAAAAAUAGGUGGCCAAAGCAGUAUAAACAAGGGGUGGAAUCUUUCAUAGAAUUUGCGAUGGCGAAUUCAGG
Long non-coding RNA from Rhododendron vialii, 729 nucleotides. RefSeq lists it as uncharacterized. NCBI's taxonomy places the organism in Eukaryota, Viridiplantae, Streptophyta, Magnoliopsida, Ericales, Ericaceae. The record is from RefSeq and is a predicted model, not a curated record. The transcript is spliced from 5 exons.